Molecule: ribosomal RNA, 119 nt
Filed under: Trichobilharzia regenti
Lineage: Eukaryota; Metazoa; Platyhelminthes; Trematoda; Strigeidida; Schistosomatidae
Source: RNAcentral
GUCAGCGACCAUACCACGAUGACAGCACCGGUUCUCGUCCGAUCACCGAAGUUAAGCAACGCUCAGCCCGGUUAGCACUUGCAUGGGUGACCGGCUGGGAAUACCGGGUGUUGCUGGUG